AGAACGAAUGCUGGCGGCAGGCCUAACACAUGCAAGUCGAACGCCUUAGCAAUAAGGAGUGGCAGACGGGUGAGUAACACGUGGGAACGUACCCUUCGGUUCGGAAUAACUCAGGGAAACUUGUGCUAAUACCGGAUACGAUCGCGAGAUGAAAGAUUUAUCGCCGAAGGAUCGGCCCGCGUCUGAUUAGCUAGUUGGUGAGGUAAUGGCUCACCAAGGCGACGAUCAGUAGCUGGUCUGAGAGGAUGACCAGCCACAUUGGGACUGAGACACGGCCCAAACUCCUACGGGAGGCAGCAGUGGGAAUAUUGGACAAUGGGCGCAAGCCUGAUCCAGCCAUGCCGCGUGAGUGAUGAAGGCCUUAGGGUUGUAAAGCUCUUUUACUCGGGAAGAUAGUGACGGUACCGAGAGAAUAAGCCCCGGCUAACUUCGCGCCAGCAGCCGC
Molecule: ribosomal RNA, 445 nt
Filed under: uncultured bacterium
Lineage: Bacteria
Description: SSU rRNA
Rfam family: Bacterial small subunit ribosomal RNA
Source: RNAcentral